Molecule: ribosomal RNA, 507 nt
Filed under: uncultured bacterium
Lineage: Bacteria
Description: bacterial SSU rRNA
Rfam family: Bacterial small subunit ribosomal RNA
Source: RNAcentral
AACGAACGCUGGCGGUAUGCCUAAUACAUGCAAGUCGUACGCGAAAGCCCGCAAGGGUAAGUAGAGUGGCGCACGGGUGAGUAACACGUAGGUGACCUUCCCUUUUGAGUGGGAUAACCCAAAGAAAUUCGGGCUAAUACCACAUAAGUUACUUCGGCGUGGUGCUGAAGUAAGAAAUGAUUGCCUCUACUUGUAAGCAAUCGCUGAAGGAUGGGCCUGCGGGACAUUAGCUAGUUGGUGGGUAACGGCCUACCAAGGCGACGAUGUCUAGCCGGUUUGAGAGAACGUCCGGCCACACUGGAACUGAGACACGGUCCAGACUCCUACGGGAGGCAGCAGUAGGGAAUAUUGCGCAAUGGGCGAAAGCCUGACGCAGCAAUACCGCGUGAGUGAGGAAGGUCUUCGGAUUGUAAAGACUCUGUCGGGAGUGGAAAAAUAGGUGUGAGGUCUAAUAGGCCUUACAAUUGAUGGUACAUCCAAAGGAAGACACCGGCUAACUUCGUGCCA